This 97-nucleotide transfer-messenger RNA is filed under the name Fidelibacterota bacterium. RNAcentral's name for it is "Candidatus Marinimicrobia bacterium partial transfer-messenger RNA". It matches the Rfam family "transfer-messenger RNA", at positions 274 to 374 of the family's 374-position model. Rfam says of the family: Bacterial tmRNA, also known as 10Sa RNA or SsrA, is named for its dual tRNA and mRNA-like properties. Lineage: Bacteria; Pseudomonadati; Fidelibacterota. The record is from RNAcentral.
UGAGGUAGAUCAGAUAAGAAAGCUCAACGUCCUACGCACGUAGAAAGCAUCUUGGUCUCCGCUUUGGACCCGGGUUCGAUUCCCGGCACCUCCACAC